This 46-nucleotide non-coding RNA is filed under the name Schistosoma curassoni. Lineage: Eukaryota; Metazoa; Platyhelminthes; Trematoda; Strigeidida; Schistosomatidae. The record is from RNAcentral.
AUACUGCUGAAGAGUCCAAUACUAGGACGAAACAGUCGUUCAGUGU